UCGAGAAUCAUUCACAAUGGGCGAAAGCCUGAUGGUGCGACGCCGCGUGGGGGAGGAAGGUCUUCGGAUUGUAAACCCCUGUCAUGUGGGAGCAAGACUUCGGUUUGAUAGUACCACAAGAGGAAGAGACGGCAAACUCUGUGCCAGCAGCCGCGGUAAUACAGAGGUCUCAAGCGUUGUUCGGAAUCACUGGGCGUAAAGGGUACGUAGGCGGCAUCAUAAGUCGUGCGUGAAAGGCAGGGGCUCAACCUCUGGAGUGCGCGUGAUACUGUGAUGCUGGAGUAAUGGAGGGGGAACCGGAAUUCUUGGUGUAGCAGUGAAAUGCGUAGAUAUCAAGAAGAAGACUCGUGGCGAAGGCGGGUUCCUGGACAUUUACUGACGCUGAGGUACGAAGGCCAGGGUAGCGAAAGGG
RNAcentral lists this ribosomal RNA (412 nucleotides) under uncultured prokaryote. RNAcentral describes it as "bacterial SSU rRNA". It matches the Rfam family "Bacterial small subunit ribosomal RNA", at positions 355 to 776 of the family's 1533-position model. The record is from RNAcentral. RNAcentral also lists the same sequence under 1 other name.